Molecule: ribosomal RNA, 245 nt
Filed under: uncultured Oscillospiraceae bacterium
Lineage: Bacteria; Bacillati; Bacillota; Clostridia; Eubacteriales; Oscillospiraceae
Description: partial 16S ribosomal RNA
Rfam family: Bacterial small subunit ribosomal RNA
Source: RNAcentral
AACGUAGGGUGCGAGCGUUGUCCGGAAUUACUGGGUGUAAAGGGAGCGCAGGCGGUCGGACAAGUUGGGUGUUAAAACUAUGGGCUCAACCCAUAAGCGCACUCAAAACUGCCCGACUUGAGUGGAGUAGAGGCAGGCGGAAUUUCCGGUGUAGCGGUGGAAUGCGUAGAUAUCGGAAGGAACACCAGUGGCGAAGGCGGCCUGCUGGGCUCUAACUGACGCUGAGGCUCGAAAGCAUGGGUAGC